Molecule: ribosomal RNA, 253 nt
Filed under: uncultured bacterium
Lineage: Bacteria
Description: partial 16S ribosomal RNA
Rfam family: Bacterial small subunit ribosomal RNA
Source: RNAcentral
UACAGAGGGUGCAAGCGUUAAUCGGAAUUACUGGGCGUAAAGCGUGCGUAGACGGUUAUGUAAGUCAGAUGUGAAAGCCCAGGGCUCAACCUUGGAAUUGCAUUUGAGACUGCAUAGCUAGGGUGCGGAAGAGGGAAGCGGAAUUUCCGGUGUAGCGGUGAAAUGCGUAGAUAUCGGAAGGAACACCAGUGGCGAAGGCGGUUCUCUGGGCCUGUACUGACGCUGAGGAGCGAAAGCGUGGGGAGCGAACAGG